RNAcentral lists this long non-coding RNA (596 nucleotides) under Mytilus galloprovincialis (Mediterranean mussel). The record is from RNAcentral. Lineage: Eukaryota; Metazoa; Mollusca; Bivalvia; Mytilida; Mytilidae.
GUGUACUUUGAAUCGAGUUACAUCGGAAUAUGAAAUAAAAAAUGGGGGUCACCAUUUUUGUUUUUUUGGAAUUUUCAUAGGAAAACGUCAAUUUUGGCGACAAAUUUACUUAGGUAUAUAGGGGAAAUGCCUUUUUUUCGGCUUACCUUUUUAGAUUUUCGAAUGGAUGGCUAUUUUCUUAUAUACGGAGAAAAACAAAAAACUAACAUAAUAUCCAGGAUUGCAUAGUGAAUCCAUACACGUAUAGAAACUCAUAUGUCACCAUCCUUGUUUUUGAAAUAAAUGGCUUCAAAGUUGAUCGAUAGGCCUAGAAUUUGACCAAAAACGUGUGACGUUAUGGUGUACGGAAUAUAACGUUAUUCCUUCUCAGAGAAAUGGAGAAAAAAAUAUGUGUCGGGAUCUGAAUGAGUAUAUUUUAUUUUCAUUUCCCCUGUCGACUGUCGUAAAGUUCCUAGUAAUGCAAUAUACAAUUCUACUGAAUCAGAUAUAAUUUUAUUUCGUCCUGCACAUGGAAUUUCACUCAUAUGAAUUAAUAUUUAUAUCGUCUGAUUUUCACAUCAAACGAGCAUAUACUUGAAACUUGCGUGAACAGGUUC